UCACCCAAACUCAAACCCGAAACAAGACUCUUCACUUCUCCGGUCGUCCACUCCGCCGCCGCCGCCGCCGCCGCCGCCGCCGUCGACUACGCCGUCUCGUCGAUUCCGCUGCCGCUCUCUUCUUGCUCCUCGCAUUCUAGGGUUCCUCUCGAUCUGAUCUAGUCGGUGAAGGACCGGAGCUGGAGCUGCUGCCUCUCUCGGUCCGCUGUUGCCGCCGCUCUCCAGCACCGGCAUCGCCCUCAACCACGUCCCCGCCGGUAAUUGAAGGACUUGGGGGUGUUGUAGCUUCAGAUGGAAGCACAAGCACACACAUUGUAACUGGGAAAGUCAGGAGGACUCUGAAUUUCUGCAAUGCCCUCUGCUCAGGGUAUUGAAAUUAUAUUCUUCUAUUAUUAGGUUCAACAUGUUAUAGCAUGUCAUGUAAUGUUGCAUCUGCAGCUGGUUUAAGUAUUUGCUUCGAGUUUCUGUUUUGGCAUCUUAAAUACAGCUGGCAUGAUUUUUGUUGACAAGUAGAUUGAACAAAGAGUUGUUCCUUUUCAGCUUUCGUAAAAUUAUUGUGGUUAUUA
Long non-coding RNA from Eucalyptus grandis, 566 nucleotides. RefSeq lists it as uncharacterized. The transcript is spliced from 2 exons. NCBI's taxonomy places the organism in Eukaryota, Viridiplantae, Streptophyta, Magnoliopsida, Myrtales, Myrtaceae. The record is from RefSeq and is a predicted model, not a curated record.